UUAAAAAAAGGAAGUAACCAAACUGGAAAGAAGAGAUUUAAGGUAGGUGUGCGCAUGAAGAAAGAUGAGAUUUGGGGUGGACGUGCGUGUGGGGAUGAUUCUUCUUUAUGGAUAUCUUUUAUUCAUUAAUAGAAUAUAGAAGAGAUUUGAAUAAAGAAGAGAUUUGGGAUAUGCAUGCGUGAAUAAAGAAGCGAUUUGAAUUUCCUUAAUAGAAUGCAAUCAUGUGGGUCACCCACGGAAUCUGGAACCCUGGACAGGUUGUAACCAAAUUGGUGGGGGUCGUGAGAGUGUCUUCGAGAUUUUUAAAUAACGAAAUCGUUAUUAGGGACCAGAAUUAUAAGACCCAUUUCCUGUGGACUGAAAAUAGAAGUUUCGAUCAACAAGUAUUAUUUGUUAUACCGCAGUCAUCAUGAGGAUCGGGAAUUAAUUACCCGUAAUUAAUUAUACUCAUUUUACAAGUCCUAUGUUAUUGAUGCUUUAAAUUGGAUAAAUGCAAAUGAUAGGCAAAAGGAUUAUUGCUAGCGGAGGAAAAUCAUUAUUUUGAUGGUUUAAUGCAAAACGUGAAUGAAAAUAAAAUGGAACAGCACAAAGUUUCAUGUUACGUGCUUCUUAUACACUAAACAUUAGUUCUAUACAUAUACUUAUUGCCCAACACUUUUUACAUUUAAAUAUACUCAAGCUCAGAUUAUGAGUGAUGUAUUUUUCCUGAAAAGAAGAAAAAAAGUUGGCAACUUUUGUUUACUAUAGAAAUAUAUAGGUUGAUGUGGUAGUCCUUUAUUCUACAAAUCAGUAGUAACUUAGCUUAGUGACAUUCUUUUGUAUUUGGAAUGUUCGAAAGGAUGCAAAAUAUGGUUUUCCAAAACCCAUGGUAGAUACUUUCUAAAAUGACUAAUCUUUACUUAAUUAGCAAAUUGUGUUUGAGUAGGCAUUAUGUAAAUUUUAGGUUGGGAUGGAUUAGGCUUACACCACUAGCCUCGGGUGGAGCUAAAGUUGUUCACCUCGGUUCCCGUCCGAGGUCAGAAGAGAUCGAGUCAGGUUGGGCUGAAUUAGGCUUAUACAACUAGCCCAAGCUCAUCAAAUGAGCCUGCGAAUUUGUAACUCAAACAAGGCCUAGUAUGUAAACGUAAUGGCCCAUGAAGAGGGGCAAGAGGCUUAAGCCCAAUCCCAUAUAUAGACUUGGCGACCGGAGCAGCUUAGGUCAGGUCAACAAGUCUAAAACAAUAGUUAUUAUUUUAUAGGGACUCAUAUGAAAAGUUAGAAGAAUUAAUAUAUUAGUAUGCAACCUAAGAAGAACUGAAGGACUAAUAUGCAAAAAUAAUUACAUGAUUUACAGCUAUGAUGGUUCAGAUAUAGAGAUAUGUUAUGAUAAUUAAGAACCAUUUCAUAACUAACACAUGAAAAACAUAAAAAAGAAAUUAUAAUGAAUAUGUAAGCUGAUGGCAAUGAGUAAAAUGAUGCAAAGGGAGAAAAUGACAUGAUAAAGAUACUGUAAUAUUAUAAUUAAAAUUAAAAUACCACUUUAGGAAAAGACAAAUUAAUGUAAAUAAAAAUGCACUUAGUACUGAGAAUUGAGAAAAAAAAUAAAAAUGGUUGGAAAAUAUCAAAUAGUUAAACUGUAGGAUUAUGUAUAAGAUUGUCUUACAUUCGAUCAUUGCAUAAUACAAUACAUUUA
RNAcentral lists this long non-coding RNA (1672 nucleotides) under Phoenix dactylifera (date palm). RNAcentral's name for it is "long non-coding RNA (PDAC_LNC006869)". The record is from RNAcentral. Lineage: Eukaryota; Viridiplantae; Streptophyta; Magnoliopsida; Arecales; Arecaceae.